This 317-nucleotide long non-coding RNA is filed under the name Mytilus galloprovincialis (Mediterranean mussel). The record is from RNAcentral. Lineage: Eukaryota; Metazoa; Mollusca; Bivalvia; Mytilida; Mytilidae.
GUUGUCGUUUGUUUAUGUAAUGUAUACGUGUUUCUCGUUUCUCGUUUUUUCGUUUUUUAUAUAGAUUAGACCGUUGGUUUUCCCGUUUGAAUGGUUUUACACUAGUUAUUUUUGGGGCCUUUAUAGCUUGUUGUUCUGUGUGAGCCAAGGCUCUAAGUUGAAUGCCGUACAUUGACAUAUAAUGGUUUACUUUUUUUAAUUGUUAUUUGGAUGGAGAGUUGUCUCAUUGGCACUCACACCACAUCUUCCUAUAUCUACUUUCAUAUAUAUCAUAUAAUCUUUAUUGUAAAAUUUACAAACGAAAUAACUUAAUCGGA